CGCAAUUGGAGUGUUUUGAAAAGUAAUCCCGAGCUUAGCAAAUCAAAGGGUAAACCCAAAAAGAAAGACAUGUCUCUGGAGGAAGCUGUAGACGAUUCUGAAAAUUUAACAGACUUCCUUAUGGACUUUGACGAGGAUGAGUGAGGCUAAUGGACGCCCCAGGCUAUCAAGGAUAAGCAAAUUAUUUUCAUCCCCAUCAACAAAGCUCUGUUGAUUACAGCACCAGCAUCUUCCCUAUGAUGGAGUCGAUGAACAUAUAUUGGAUGAUUGAUACGAUCUGGCAACAAGGCCAACUAACUUGGGAACGGUUUGUUGUUGAUGCUGCUGUGACUCUUAAGCAGCAUCUGCUGAAGAUCUUCACCCCAGAAGAGUAGAUUUUUUAUAGAAGCUUUGGG
This 395-nucleotide unclassified non-coding RNA is filed under the name Hevea brasiliensis (rubber tree). The record is from RNAcentral. Lineage: Eukaryota; Viridiplantae; Streptophyta; Magnoliopsida; Malpighiales; Euphorbiaceae.